AACGUGUCAUGAGAAAAAGAAAAUCUCAGACCCUAAAAUUACACUCUAUUAGAUGUAAUAUUUACUCUCAAAUGGCGUGCCAGCAGUCUCGGUUAUACGAUUAGAUUCAAAAAUAUACGAACUCUUCAUAAACACAAUCAAAUGAAAAAGCUAAAUCACUAAAGUGAAAUUUUGAAAUAAUCUUAUUUUUGAAAUGAAGAAAAAAUUAACAAGAGGGAAAAGGAUUAGAUACCCUUCUACUAAAUCCCCAAAGGUAAUAAAUGAAAAUCACCAAACCUAAAAAAAUUGGCGGUCUUUUAUCCACUCAGGGGGAUUUGCCCCUUAAAUCGAUAACCCCCGAUUAAUAAAUACCACCCUUAUUAACAUGUAUAUCGCCGAAAGUUAGAAUCAAUCAAUCAAAAAUUUCAGGUAAAAUACAGUUUAUAGGAAUGGAGAGGGUUAAUCACAAAAAAAAAGUUUUAACAAUUUUUAAAAUAAUAAGGACCUGAAAGUAAAAUUUUCUAUAAAAUAAAAAUUUUAAAAGGCAAUCAAGGGUGCCAUAUUUCGCCCGUCGCCCUAGUUAUUAGGUAAGUCGUAACAAAGUAGAAGUUUUGGAAAAAGCUUCUUUU
RNAcentral lists this ribosomal RNA (608 nucleotides) under Leptotrombidium fletcheri. Its description in RNAcentral is "small subunit ribosomal RNA". Lineage: Eukaryota; Metazoa; Arthropoda; Arachnida; Trombidiformes; Trombiculidae. The record is from RNAcentral.